GCCAAAGCCGGAAGGGCCGUCCUGCGGCGGGGCGUCCUCUCCCGUCGCCAGCGCGGCCGCCGACCUCGUCGCCAGCAAGCCCGGGGCCCCGCCGCCCUCCCGCUGAGUCAGCCGCACAAAGCACAGCAGCAGAAAAGGCCUCCUUCACCUGUUGGCAGAGGCUUCCUGGCUCUCAGUCUUCAUGACUCCCCUAGAUGCCCUUGACCUAAGAGAGAGCUCUCAACUUCCAUUUAUUGAACAAUAAAUACACAUAUCUGUUUGUUUCUA
Molecule: long non-coding RNA, 267 nt
Organism: Lynx canadensis (Canada lynx)
Lineage: Eukaryota; Metazoa; Chordata; Mammalia; Carnivora; Felidae
Exons: 2
Source: RefSeq, a predicted model, not a curated record